This 292-nucleotide ribosomal RNA is filed under the name uncultured archaeon. Its description in RNAcentral is "partial 16S ribosomal RNA". It matches the Rfam family "Archaeal small subunit ribosomal RNA", at positions 351 to 648 of the family's 1478-position model. The record is from RNAcentral.
CAUCAUGCGGGGCACCGUGAUAGGGACCUCGAGUGCCUGUACAUGCAGGCUGUUCAGGGUGUCUAAAACACACCUGAAGAAAGGGCCGGGCAAGACCGGUGCCAGCCGCCGCGGUAAUACCGGCGGCUCGAGUGGUGGCCACUUUUAUUGGGCUUAAAGCGUUCGUAGCUGGGUUGUUAAGUCUCUUGGGAAAUCUGACGGCUCAACCGUCAGGCGUCUAAGGGAUACUGGCAAUCUUGGAACCGGGAGAGGUGAGGGGUACUUCGGGGGUAGGAGUGAAAUCCUGUAAUCC